UGGGGAAUCUUGCACAAUGGGGGCAACCCUGAUGCAGCGACGCCGCGUGAGCGAUGAAGCCCUUCGGGGCGUAAAGCUCUUUCGACCGGAACGAUAAUGACGGUACCGGGAGAAGAAGCUGCGGCUAACUACGUGCCAGCAGCCGCGGUAAUACGUAGGCAGCAAGCGUUGUUCGGAGUUACUGGGCGUAAAGAGUGCGUAGGCGGUUUUCUAAGUUCGGUGUGAAAUCUCCCGGCUUAACUGGGAGGGUGCGCCGAAGACUGGGAAGCUGGAGUGUGGGAAAGGCAGGCGGAAUUCCUGGUGUAGCGGUGAAAUGCGUAGAUAUCAGGAGGAACACCGGCGGUGUAGACGGCUUGCUAGACCAUAACUGACGCUGAGGCACGAAAGCGUGGGUAGCAAACAG
RNAcentral lists this ribosomal RNA (403 nucleotides) under uncultured bacterium. Its description in RNAcentral is "bacterial SSU rRNA". It matches the Rfam family "Bacterial small subunit ribosomal RNA", at positions 355 to 775 of the family's 1533-position model. The record is from RNAcentral.